AGGUCGCUCCGCCUCGGUGGUGGUCACGCCCGGCCAGCUGUGGCAGCAUCCCUGUCGGCUAGCUCGGGUCUGGCCCACGGUGACUGUUACCCCUGGGGAAUGGGGCAGCUCUGAUCCAUCCAACGCUGCUGCACUGGAGACUGGGUCAGAAAUCAGGAGUGAGGACUUGUUGAAAGAAAUAGGAAGGAAUCAGGAGAUCACAUAAA
This is a long non-coding RNA of Pongo pygmaeus (Bornean orangutan), 206 nucleotides long. RefSeq lists it as uncharacterized. The record is from RefSeq and is a predicted model, not a curated record. The transcript has 3 exons. NCBI's taxonomy places the organism in Eukaryota, Metazoa, Chordata, Mammalia, Primates, Hominidae.